This 206-nucleotide long non-coding RNA is filed under the name Brassica rapa (field mustard). RNAcentral's name for it is "long non-coding RNA (BRAP_LNC006614)". Lineage: Eukaryota; Viridiplantae; Streptophyta; Magnoliopsida; Brassicales; Brassicaceae. The record is from RNAcentral.
UGGUUUAAUGCUUUAGAACGUCCAAAUUACUUUUAAUGAAUGACACGAUAUUUUUCUUUGUAAGUUUCACAUAAAUGUGUCAAAUAUUUGUAAGUUCAUGUUUUUUAUAUAUUAUUAAACUUUAAUUCAAAAUGCGGGAAAGCAUUUGAAGUUCAACUUUUUAAAUAUUUGUUCAUGUUUUUCACAUGGUUAUAAUAUUCUCCUCG